Molecule: non-coding RNA, 5102 nt
Organism: Manis javanica (Malayan pangolin)
Lineage: Eukaryota; Metazoa; Chordata; Mammalia; Pholidota; Manidae
Source: RefSeq, a predicted model, not a curated record
UCUCAGGCAGCACCAAGGGCAAGCUGGCUUGGCUGGAGGCCACCCUGCAGCAGGUUAAGCAGGACAUGGCGCGGCAGCUAAGUGAGUACCAGAAGCUCAUGAUCAUCAAGCUGGGCCUGGACUUUGAGAUCACCACCUACUGCAAGCUGCUGGAGGUCAAAGAGAGCAGGCGGGUUGCAGGCCUGGUCUGGGAUUUGGAGCAGGGAGAGGCAGUGGGGAGAAUCUGCGUGUCUGACUUGGAGGAAGGGGUCUGCUGCUAGUCUGCGGAGUUUGCACGUCAGUUUUCUAAUGGGCGGGGAGGGUCUGUGAGUCUGCCCCUUGGAGCAGGAGUCUGUAUGUCUGUUUUCUGGGACGCAGGAGGAGCGGGGUGUCUCCUUCCAACAGCAGCCCUCCGCUCAGUCCUGGGUAGCCCUCCCACCUGCGAGCCCAGCUCAACCUCCAGGCCUGCCCGCCUGGGGCCGUCUGGAGCGGGCUCCUGAGCCCUGGAGACGAGCGCCCCUGGCGGCCGCUGCGCGCUCUGCGGCUCUGCCGGCUUUGCCGGGUCGUCAUCAGCAGCCGUUCCCGCGGAUGUUGGAGCCUUCCUGUCCCGCUCUGGAUAAGUCAAAGAACCCUAGCUUCUGCCGCAGAGACUUGGCCCUGCGUCUCAGACGCCCGCCCUCUCCCAUGAACUGGCCCUCACCUCAUCUCUGCCUCUUACCGCCCACCCCAGAACGUAGUCUUGGAAUAGUUUACUGGACCGUGACAGACCCCUUCCCAGUGCGGAGACGGCUUGGGUGCUGUGCCACUGGGGAGGAAUUGUGGACUACCUGGAUCCAGCACCCUGCCCUUCCGAACCGUCCCCUUCCUGCUCUUCCUGGGACUCAUCCUUUUGCAAUACGAAGUUCUGCAGCAGACCGAGCUGGCAGGCUGUUUGCCGCCUGGAUUCCAUUCCUCUAGCUAUGCCCUGAGCAGUCACAAAGCUGAUGAAUUUGGGGGUGGGGGAGGGAGGGAGAGACACUGCCAGGAAGCAGCCCUCCCCUGGUGGUGUGUGGGUCCACAUGGCUUCAACUCGUGGUGGUAUAGAACCAGGAUCUAAGGGUCAGGGUGGUGGUAUCCGCGGACCCUUGGUGAAAGGGAAAGAAGGGGUUAAUUCAUGCAGCCAGUCUGCUUACCCCCCAGCCUGGGGUGCUGAGUGUUCCCUGAGGGUCAGGGAGAGUGCUUGGUGAGCAAGAUGCUCUCCUCCUGGCCCAAUGGAGAUGAUGUUCUGGGAGGGAAGCAGGCUAUAAACAAGGAAACAGACCAGAAAGAAAACAGGACAAGAUGGGGAUGAGGGUUAGCCACCCUCUGUUACCCUGGCAGGAGCACUCAAGUGCAGGCCCUGGGGGUGAUGGCCCUCACAGACUGGGGCUGGGUAUGAACACAAUCAGGUGGCCUAGGCCUGGAUUCUAGCUUAACAAAUGAUCUGUUGGUGGGUUGGGAACAACGUACCGUGGUGGGUGAGUUCAUGUGUUUGGAAUCAGACCCAGGUUCUAACUCUAUGCCUACUUCCAGCACUGCGGUGUAGUUUGGUCUGAGGUUCCAAAGGCAACUGACUUAGGGGUGCAGAAGAUAGGCCAGUUUGGGGGGUGGGGUGGCCAGAGAACGGCUGGGUUUCUGGGUGCUUUCCUUGCCAUAGUGGCCUCAGAGGAGCUACGAUUCAGUGAACUCACAUUCUUUUCCAUUGCACAAAGGAUUACCUCAUCAAGGCACUGGGGAACAAUGGUUCCUGCUAUGUCCCUGGGUGGGGCCAAGGUGCGUCACUGGCCAGAGGCCCUGGUUUUACCUUUUAAGGUAUGCUAGUGCCAGGGUGUCUGCUUGAUUCUCUGGGUUGCUGCCUGGAGAACAGACAUCCAAAGGGCUCCUCCGUGGGUAAACAGAGCAGCCUCAGGCAAGAGGAAUGGGACCCAAACUUGUCUGGCAGGUUGCCACCCACCUGAGAGGUAGGGGACAUGCCCCACUGGGCUCGUGCAUCAGCCCCAUUUAAUCAAUACUGACAGACACCAACCAUAUAAAUAUUUUUACUAACACUCCCAAUGCAAAGCAGCUGUCUGAAAGCAGAGUUGUGUCUCCAUUUUGCUAGGAGGACAUUCUCUGAUGUUCAAGGUCAGGUUUUUCCAGCUGCUGGUGUGCCCAUCAUGUGGAGGAAGGAGCUCUGUGGGAAGUGCAGAAGGACCUGCCACCUAGGGGUUGUCAGCAGGUUGUCUGCACUUGCAUCACUGAGGACUGAUGGCCCACAUUUCCCUUUUCCAAAUAAGCCUGAUGUCAGUGCGGGAGAUUCCAAAGAAACCUCUGGUGUCAGGUUUGAGUCUCUUGCUGGGCCACAUGGGCCACAAGCAAUGUUUGUGCUUGGGGACUGAUUCUCUGAGUGGCUCCCUGGCCAUGGGCCACAUUCCAGCUUGGGGUGGGGGAUAACUGCUUGGCACACUUGUGAAGAGUCAUUCACUAGCCCAUUUACAAGCUUUCUGUGUUGGGGUGACUUCUGAGGGGAAAAGGGUCAUCACCAGUUCAGUUGUUGCUUCUCAGCAGAAGGGGACCCCAAAGGAUCAGCCCUCCAUUGGCUCCUCAUGCCUGCCUCACAUUUAAUAGCACUUAAACAUGAUGAAUGUAGCUUAGCUGUGUUUGUGUGUGUAUUUGGGCCCUUCAAGGGCAGUGACUGUCUCCUCCAUCCGUUGCGAGGGCCUGCCACGUAGUGAAUGCAAACGGGUCUAGGUUUUGUGGUCCUAUUUGGUCUGCUCUGUCCUUGGAUGAAUUGGGCCCUGUUCUUCCACCAUUGAUAUGUCUUACCCCGUGGAAACCUCUUGGGGGUCUCUUGAUGAUCUACUAAAUGCCAUCCUUCCUGAUGGGGCUCCAGCUGCACUCUAGCAAUCAGACCAGUGUGGAGGAAGGCAAGAAGGGCUGAGUUUCUGUUCCCAGUCUUCUGCCACCUUGACCAAAGUCACCUGUUUCUGGGCCUCAGUUCUGCCCUUUCCAGAUCUAACUGGUGAGGAUUCAUUUAUCCCUUUUAUUUUUCCUCCCUACUUAACCUUUCUUCACCACAGUUUAUCUGUAAAAUAAGAAUCCUAACUAUCAUAGUGUUGUUUGGGAAUUAAUUGUUACUAUAUGUAAAGUGCUUAAAGCAUAGAGAGAAUGAUAGAAAUGUAAUUAGUAUUUCACUUAACAGAGUUCUUGUUUUUGAGCACCCUUAAAGGAGUUACUACGAAGUUGAAGACCAAUGAACUCCAUCUGCCCCAGUUGGUGCUAAAGUGACUGGAGGGCAGAAGGGCAGGGAGGUGAGCCCAAGGGGUAGGGCCAAGACCCCCUAGCCAGAGGGCAUCUCUCCUGUGACCCCCAGCAGUGCCUGCCCAUUAUCAUCCCACCUCAGCCCUGUUCUCUGUGACUCCACCUCACCAGCAUGAACCCACUGGUGUCCCCACACAGGUUCUCCCCUAGCACAUGUACACAGGCGGGCACACACACACACACACACACACACACAAUCACUCACACACAUAUAAAUAUAUUUAUACACAGAUGCCUGGAGAUGUGCACAUACCCAGAUGCUGUAUUGUUCUGCUCAUAGACAGCUGUCUAGAGACAGCUCUGUGGAAUGAUACAGACAGGAUGCAUACAGCACAGUUGCAUGGCUUCUGACUCCCUGCUUUCCUAUAGUGCUUAGUCCUUUCCUUCUGGCUCCUAGUCCUUUCCCAACUCUCCUAAAGAAUAAUAGAGCUUUAAACUGGUAAGGGACCUUAGCAACUAUAUAGUUAAAACACUCUAUUUCACUAGUGAAUUCACAGAGGCCCAGAGAGGGGAGGCAACUUGCUAAAAGUCACACAGCCAGGUGUUCCAUUUUCUUCACCAUUCUGCAUCAUUAAUAUUUUGUGUUUGAUUGAUUCACCCUGUUCUCCUGCCUGCGCCUGCCCAGAGGUGGCAAGGUAGAGCUGGAGUGGGAGAUAGAAGGGUCAGAGCUGGAAGGCGAAUGAGAGAGGUAAGUGGGGCAGGUCAUCAAGGCUCAGCCAGGCUGGUGAGACCAGUGAGAUGGGAAGGGAGGGGUUAGUUGACAGAGAAGAGAAGUCCUUCAGGACUGGAAUUGCAGGUGACUUCUGAACUGAGGAGGGCUGGAGGGAUGGGACUGGUGCUUGGGCCUCAGGUCUGGACUCCUGACAGGAACUGCUUCUGAGCUGUGUGGUGUCACAGCAGAGGGACUUUCCCAGGGCUUUGUCCUGUUCAGAAUUCCAUCAGGAGGGUGGCAGGGCCAUGUUAGUUCAAAGGAGAUUGAUUCUAUCCAUUGAAAGAGCCUUUGUCUUUUCAGGACAUUGGUUCUGGCUCUCAAUUUUCUUAAUUAUUUCUAUUGCCCUGGGGAAUGGAGGAUGGACUUAUAUUUCUGCUAUGGUUUUCUGGGCCUGGGACUGGAAGUUUAAGAUUCACCCUUCUGUACAGACCUGUCUUCAGGGACUUGCCUUGGCCCAUAGUGAGGCUGAGGGGCUAACUCCCUACUCCCUCUGGUGCUUGUGAGAUUCUUAUCAGUAUCAAGUGGGGACAGUCACCUGCUUGAAGGCCCUGGAAGACAUAAUGAUUUCUGUCUUGAAAUUUCUGAUCACAGAUAUAAAUGUAAUAAGAUGUAAGUGUGAUCAGUUUAUAGAUAUGCACAAGAGGCUGGCCAUGGCUCUGAGCACUGGGAUUUCUACUUUGUAUUCUGUGAAAGAGUGCUGGUAACAAUGAAUGUGUAGUGUGAUUAUUUUGUGGCAGGCAUUGUCUAAAUACUUUACAUAUAUGAAAUUCCUUAAUCCUCUCAUCAACCAUAUGAGGUAGGUGCUCUUUUGAUCAUUCUUGCUUUAGGGAUGUGGAAACUGAGGCACAGAGAGGUUCAGUAAAUUGUGUAAGGUCGGUCAGCUAGUAAGAAACAGAGCCCAUCUGGACCCAGGUGAUCUGGUUUCAGAUUCUGUGGGCUCACCUCUGUGCACCAUCAUCAUAUGGUUAUGUGCUGUUUUCUGUCUUUGAGGUAAUUUAUCAGCUAUGGCAGGUCUCCAACCCCAAAAGGAUGCCAUUAAAAAAAAAGUAACCAUAUCAAAGGCUUUUUGAAGGUUUAAGUCAUGUUUAUGUGU